AUCCGGCUGAUGAGUCCCAAAUAAGACGAAGUGACCAUACUGGAU
This 45-nucleotide non-coding RNA is filed under the name Trichobilharzia regenti. Lineage: Eukaryota; Metazoa; Platyhelminthes; Trematoda; Strigeidida; Schistosomatidae. The record is from RNAcentral.